This 1369-nucleotide ribosomal RNA is filed under the name uncultured bacterium. RNAcentral's name for it is "bacterial SSU rRNA". It matches the Rfam family "Bacterial small subunit ribosomal RNA". The record is from RNAcentral.
AGAGUUUGAUCCUGGCUCAGGACGAACGCUGGCGGCGCGCCUAACACAUGCAAGUCGAACGAGCGAGAGAGAGCUUGCUUUCUCGAGCGAGUGGCGAACGGGUGAGUAACGCGUGAGGAACCUGCCUCAAAGAGGGGGACAACAGUUGGAAACGACUGCUAAUACCGCAUAAGCCCACAGCUCGGCAUCGAGCAGAGGGAAAAGGAGCAAUCCGCUUUGAGAUGGCCUCGCGUCCGAUUAGCUAGUUGGUGAGGUAACGGCCCACCAAGGCGACGAUCGGUAGCCGGACUGAGAGGUUGAACGGCCACAUUGGGACUGAGACACGGCCCAGACUCCUACGGGAGGCAGCAGUGGGGAAUAUUGCACAAUGGGGGAAACCCUGAUACAGCGACGCCGCGUGGAGGAAGAAGGUCUUCGGAUUGUAAACUCCUGUUGUUGAGGAAGAUAAUGACGGUACUCAACAAGGAAGUGACGGCUAACUACGUGCCAGCAGCCGCGGUAAAACGUAGGUCACAAGCGUUGUCCGGAAUUACUGGGUGUAAAGGGAGCGCAGGCGGGAAGGCAAGUUGGAAGUGAAAUCCAUGGGCUCAACCCAUGAACUGCUUUCAAAACUGUUUUUCUUGAGUAGUGCAGAGGUAGGCGGAAUUCCCGGUGUAGCGGUGGAAUGCGUAGAUAUCGGGAGGAACACCAGUGGCGAAGGCGGCCUACUGGGCACCAACUGACGCUGAGGCUCGAAAGUGUGGGUAGCAAACAGGAUUAGAUACCCUGGUAGUCCACACUGUAAACGAUGAUUACUAGGUGUUGGAGGAUUGACCCCUUCAGUGCCGCAGUUAACACAAUAAGUAAUCCACCUGGGGAGUACGACCGCAAGGUUGAAACUCAAAGGAAUUGACGGGGGCCCGCACAAGCAGUGGAGUAUGUGGUUUAAUUCGACGCAACGCGAAGAACCUUACCAAGUCUUGACAUCCUGCGACGCACAUAGAAAUAUGUGUUUCCUUCGGGACGCAGAGACAGGUGGUGCAUGGUUGUCGUCAGCUCGUGUCGUGAGAUGUUGGGUUAAGUCCCGCAACGAGCGCAACCCUUAUGGUCAGUUACUACGCAAGAGGACUCUGGCCAGACUGCCGUUGACAAAACGGAGGAAGGUGGGGAUGACGUCAAAUCAUCAUGCCCCUUAUGACCUGGGCUACACACGUAAUACAAUGGCGGUCAACAAAGGGAUGCAAAGCCGCGAGGCAGAGUGAACCCCAAAAAGCCGUCCCAGUUCGGAUCGCAGGCUGCAACCCGCCUGCGUGAAGUCGGAAUCGCUAGUAAUCGUGGGUCAGCAUACCACGGUGAAUACGUUCCCGGGCCUUGCACACACCGCCCGUCA